This 1888-nucleotide long non-coding RNA is filed under the name Canis lupus familiaris (dog). Its description in RNAcentral is "lncRNA (ENSCAFG00845027064.1)". Lineage: Eukaryota; Metazoa; Chordata; Mammalia; Carnivora; Canidae. The record is from RNAcentral.
CUCCCUCCUACCAGAUUUGUAGAGCACUUCAAAUUACGACUGCUUCUCCACACAAGCCUGAAAGGCUAAUAAUAGUCAAUUAUGCCAUUCUGGAAGAAUGAAGACUAUUCCAGCCAAUAGUAGGAUGACUCGGGCCCCACAGAGACCGCGGCCGCUGCGCUGGCAGGUGGCACACGGCAGGUGCUCCAGGGCCCAGGUCGCUGCAAGGGUCACACCUGCCGUUCAGCAGAUGCAGAAACACGCUGCCUCCCCAGCGCCACUGUACCCCUGCUGCCACCAGCGGUCCUUUUCCCUUGGGAUCCCUGGAGUGUGCGCCCCAAGGUCUCCUGUGGGCCCCCCCCCCGACAUUUCCUCUAUCCCUCCCGGCGCUAGAGAUGCUUCAGGUGUGGCCUGCAGGUAGGUCCGGGAGGGUUACAGCCCCCCAGCUCCCGGCCUUGCACACGCGCACCCACGGAGCGGAGCUGCAGUUGCCACCAGCAAGGGCGAGGCAAAGUGUGCAAAUCUAAAAGGGAAAAGCAAGAGAUCGGGGAAGCAGAUAACCCAUUUCCUCUGCGCCCUGCUCUGUACCGCAGGGGUGCCCGCGGCUGGGGGCCGGGGUGCAAGGACGCCCAAGGAGGCGGAGGGAAGAGGAGACGGUGGGGAAUGAACACGGGCCUUCACAGAGGGCGGCGGGGCAAAUCCUCAGGCCGGGCCCAGGUGCCAUUCCAACGCAGAGGUGCCCCCCGACACUCCUGCCUCCCCUCGGCUCAGCACCUGUCGCCCCCCACCCCGCCCCACUGGUCCUCUUCAGGACCCCUUCCCUUAGACUCCUUUCAUCCUCUGUUCAGCAACUACUCCUCUACUCUCAUUUCAUCACGAUGGAUCCCUUAGAGACCCGGAGCCAGGUGGCAUUUUGGAGCCCCCCCAUUUCACAUUUGAAAACAGGAGACGUCCCGCUUCUCGUCAACAACCCUACCUCUGGGAUGUAGCGGAGAGGAACCUCUGUCCCCUGACACCCCGCCCCAGCUCCACCAGAUUCAGGCCCGGUGCCCCUGACCGGGUCACCGCUGCUCCUACCAGCUUGUUGGUGGCCGACGAUGGUUUAGUGCAGGUGUCACACACCAACCCCGGACUCUGUCCCCUUUCCAGGACUCUGUGACUCUUACCAACAAAUCAGCCAUUGGUACUGAGCCCUUUGCGGCCCGUGCUCGCUGUUUGCUCCACCGUCAUCCACUCAAAUGCUUGACGUGCCACCUCCACCGCCCUGCCCUCUCACCAAUCAACCCGCCUCAACGCCCAUACAGCGCUCCUUCCUUCUGAACUCAUGGCACCUCCCGUCUGAAAUUUAUUUUGGAGGCUUUACUUUCUUGAUUAAGCCCUUGAGCUGCUAUUUGACUCCCUUGUAUCUUUGGUUCUCACCUAGAAAAUCAUCUUUAUUGAGGUGAGGGAGGAGGGACAACCCCAAGCAGGCUCCACAUCCAGCGUGGAGCUGAUGCAAGACUCGAUCUCACGACCCUGAGAUCGUGACCUGAGCUGAAAUCAAGGGUCUGACACUUAAGCGACGGAGCCACCCAGGCACUCCUGGAAAACGAUCACCUUGAAAGUAGAAACCACGUGUUAUUUAUUUCUACAUAUUUACCCGUCAGCUAGGAUUAUACUGCACACGGGAUAGAAAUUUAAGAAAUAUUUGCACAAUAAGCAGACUCGGCUAACAGAACGGAUGCUUUGAUGAAAGAAGGUUGCAAUGAAAAAUAACUAUUUCUUAGCAUGUAGGCUUUAAAUAUUUUGUAAAUCUUGCCAUACAGCUAGAUUGGAUCAUACCAAGAAGAAAAGUGGGGCCAGGCAAAGCUGUGAAGAUUCUUUAGCCCUGACUUGUGUUUGUGGAUUGGUGGGAGAGGGAAGGAAAAGA